This 253-nucleotide ribosomal RNA is filed under the name uncultured bacterium. RNAcentral describes it as "partial 16S ribosomal RNA". It matches the Rfam family "Bacterial small subunit ribosomal RNA", at positions 524 to 776 of the family's 1533-position model. The record is from RNAcentral.
UACGUAGGGGGCAAGCGUUGUCCGGAAUCAUUGGGCGUAAAGAGCGUGUAGGCGGCCCGGUAAGUCCGCUGUGAAAGUCCAGGGCUCAACCCUGGGAUGCCGGUGGAUACUGUCGGGCUCGAGUCCGGAAGAGGCGAGUGGAAUUCCUGGUGUAGCGGUGAAAUGCGCAGAUAUCAGGAGGAACACCAAUGGCGAAGGCAGCUCGCUGGAACGGUACUGACGCUGAGGCGCGAAAGCGUGGGGAGCAAACAGG